ACACCUAUUUAUAGUGGCAGAACAUGCGUUAGCUUUAAGCGCUAAAGAUAAGAGUCCUUCUAUUUCCUAUUGGUGUA
This 77-nucleotide transfer RNA is filed under the name Helix pomatia (Roman snail). RNAcentral describes it as "tRNA-Leu". Lineage: Eukaryota; Metazoa; Mollusca; Gastropoda; Stylommatophora; Helicidae. The record is from RNAcentral.